CUUAGGUGAUAGUGGCGGACGGGUGAGUAACGCGUGAGAAUCUAGCUCUAGGUCGGGGACAACCACUGGAAACGGUGGCUAAUACCGGAUAUGCCGUGAGGUAAAAGGCUUGCUGCCUAGAGAUGAGCUCGCGUCUGAUUAGCUAGUAGGUGUGGUAAGAGCGCACCUAGGCGACGAUCAGUAGCUGGUCUGAGAGGAUGAUCAGCCACACUGGGACUGAGACACGGCCCAGACUCCUACGGGAGGCAGCAGUGGGGAAUUUUCCGCAAUGGGCGAAAGCCUGACGGAGCAAUACCGCGUGAGGGAGGAAGGCUCUUGGGUUGUAAACCUCUUUUCUCAGGGAAUAAUAAUGAAGGUACCUGAGGAAUAAGCAUCGGCUAACUCCGUGCCAGCAGCCGCGGUAAUACGGAGGAUGCAAGCGUUAUCCGGAAUGAUUGGGCGUAAAGGGUCCGCAGGUGGUUCUGAAAGUCUGCUGUUAAAGAGUGAGGCUUAACCUCAUAAAAGCAGUGGAAACUACAAAGCUAGAGUGCGUUCGGGGUAGCAGGAAUUCCUGGUGUAGCGGUGAAAUGCGUAGAGAUCAGGAAGAACACCGGUGGCGAAAGCGUGCUACUAGGCCGUAACUGACACUGAGGGACGAAAGCUAGGGGAGCGAAUGGGAUUAGAUACCCCAGUAGUCCUAGCCGUAAACGAUGGAUACUAGGCGUGGCUUGUAUCGACCCGAGCCGUGCCGGAGCUAACGCGUUAAGUAUCCCGCCUGGGGAGUACGCACGCAAGUGUGAAACUCAAAGGAAUUGACGGGGGCCCGCACAAGCGGUGGAGUAUGUG
RNAcentral lists this ribosomal RNA (825 nucleotides) under Nostoc sp. SULS-O1. RNAcentral's name for it is "bacterial SSU rRNA". It matches the Rfam family "Bacterial small subunit ribosomal RNA", at positions 84 to 943 of the family's 1533-position model. The record is from RNAcentral. Lineage: Bacteria; Bacillati; Cyanobacteriota; Cyanophyceae; Nostocales; Nostocaceae.